Molecule: ribosomal RNA, 459 nt
Filed under: uncultured bacterium
Lineage: Bacteria
Description: partial 16S ribosomal RNA
Rfam family: Bacterial small subunit ribosomal RNA
Source: RNAcentral
CCUACGGGAGGCAGCAGUGAGGAAUAUUGGUCAAUGGACGAGAGUCUGAACCAGCCAAGUAGCGUGAAGGAUGACUGCCCUAUGGGUUGUAAACUUCUUUUAUAUGGGAAUAAAACGUUCCACGUGUGGGAUUUUGUAUGUACCAUAUGAAUAAGGAUCGGCUAACUCCGUGCCAGCAGCCGCGGUAAUACGGAGGAUCCGAUCGUUAUCAGGAUUUAUUGGGUUAAAAGGGAGCGUAGGUGGAUUGUUAAGUCAGUUGUGAAAGUUUGCGGCUCAACCGUAAAAUUGCAGUUGAAACUGGCAGUCUUGAGUACAGUAGAGGUGGCGGAAUUCGUGGUGUAGCGGUGAAAUGCUUAGAUAUCACGAAGAACUCCGAUUGCGAAGGCAGUUCACUGGACUGCAACUGACACUGAGGCUCGAAAGUGUGGGUAUCAAACAGGAUUAGAUACCCUAGUAGUC